This 87-nucleotide ribosomal RNA is filed under the name Klebsiella aerogenes. Lineage: Bacteria; Pseudomonadati; Pseudomonadota; Gammaproteobacteria; Enterobacterales; Enterobacteriaceae. The record is from RNAcentral. RNAcentral also lists the same sequence under 80 other names.
UGACCCCAUGCCGAACUCAGAAGUGAAACGCCGUAGCGCCGAUGGUAGUGUGGGGUCUCCCCAUGUGAGAGUAGGGAACUGCCAGGC